GGUUGUGGCUCAGUGGUAGAGUGCUUGCCUAACAUGUGUGAUGCAUGGGUUCCAUUCUCAGCACCA
Molecule: transfer RNA, 66 nt
Filed under: Marmota monax (woodchuck)
Lineage: Eukaryota; Metazoa; Chordata; Mammalia; Rodentia; Sciuridae
Description: tRNA.Val
Source: RNAcentral